CAGCCUGAUCAGCCAUGCCGCGUGAGUGAUGAAGGCCCUAGGGUUGUAAAGCUCUUUCACCGGUGACGAUAAUGACGGUAACCGGAGAAGAAGCCCCGGCUAACUUCGUGCCAGCAGCCGCGGUAAU
Molecule: ribosomal RNA, 127 nt
Filed under: uncultured bacterium
Lineage: Bacteria
Description: partial 16S ribosomal RNA
Rfam family: Bacterial small subunit ribosomal RNA
Source: RNAcentral